CAAAUUUGAUCGUGUUUAUGACGUGGAUAUUUGACGUCAUAAACACCAAAGUUGAUCGUGUUUAUGACGUCGAAUAUCGACGUCAUAAACACCAAAG
Molecule: non-coding RNA, 97 nt
Organism: Paramuricea clavata
Lineage: Eukaryota; Metazoa; Cnidaria; Anthozoa; Malacalcyonacea; Plexauridae
Source: the annotation of a GenBank genome assembly